GACGAACGCUGGCGGCGUGCUUAAUACAUGCAAGUCGAGCGAGGUCCAUCUGGUGGCAACACCAGUGAAGGCCGAGCGGCGAACGGGUGAGUAACACGUGAGCAACCUGCCCCGAAGUCUGGAAUAACAUCGGGAAACCGGUGCUAAUACCGGAUCGCCCCACCUGACCGCAUGAUCGGGUGAGGAAAGAUUUAUCGCUUCGGGAGGGGCUCGCGGCCUAUCAGCAGUUGGUGGGGUAACGGCCUACCAAGGCGUCGACGGGUAGCUGGUCUGAGAGGACGACCAGCCACACUGGGACUGAGACACGGCCCAGACUCCUACGGGAGGCAGCAGUAGGGAAUCUUGCGCAAUGGGCGAAAGCCUGACGCAGCAACGCCGCGUGGGGGAUGACGGCC
This 395-nucleotide ribosomal RNA is filed under the name uncultured bacterium. RNAcentral describes it as "bacterial SSU rRNA". It matches the Rfam family "Bacterial small subunit ribosomal RNA", at positions 28 to 416 of the family's 1533-position model. The record is from RNAcentral.